Felis catus (domestic cat) is the source of this 2952-nucleotide long non-coding RNA. RefSeq lists it as uncharacterized. The record is from RefSeq and is a predicted model, not a curated record. The transcript is spliced from 4 exons. Lineage: Eukaryota; Metazoa; Chordata; Mammalia; Carnivora; Felidae.
UUCAAUUUUUAGAAACUCUCAAAGUUCAUUACAUGCCCAAAAUCACUGUAAUCUAUUGUCAAAAUUAUUUGUGAUCUAUCAGCUAAUAGGUCCUUCUUCAUAAUUGUUGAAAACAAACAAUUUGAAACAAUUUGACUCAUAUACAGAUUUGUUACUCAGCUGUUACAGUAAUUCAUUUUGUCAGUUUCUGAGAAGUAUGCCAGAAAAUGAUUAAAGAGUAUGACAAUAUCUAAAGUUCUUAUUGUGUAUAUUGUCAAAUAGCUUCUUAGGAAAUACUUCUAUCAAUGGCAGUCAAGUGAUAAUGUCUUCUCACUAUCACCAUUUUCUUUUAACAUUCAUUAAUUUGAUGGGUGAAGAAAUUACAUUUCACUGCUUUAAUUUGCAUUUUGUAGGUAAUUAUGCCCCUAAUUAUAUUUCAUAUGUUUAUUAGUGAAUUCAUAAAACCAGAAAAGGAAUCUCUAUAGUCUAUAUUGUGUUCAUAUUUGUUCAUAUUUGUGUAUUGAAUGGGUAUAAAUGUAUAGCAAUUAUUUAAUAUAAAUGUUAUAAAAGAGCACCUGGCCCAUAGUUAGUCACACAAAUGUCAUUCAACAAUGGCAUCAUCAUUAUCAUCAGUGGAAAAUGUUUUUCUUAGUUUUUAAAUAAUUUGAUUUUUUUAAAUAUGAAACUUGAUUUUUUCCAUAUUUUUUAUUUAGGUAUUCCAGAGUUCUUUUGAACUGGGAGACCAUUAUUUAAUAAAGAAGGCUUGUGUUUAGAAUAAUACUGAUUCUCGUCAUCUCCUUUAAUUUGUUGACUUAAGUGUAGGAGUUGCUAGAGAAAAGGGACUUCAGUCAUUUUUCAUUCAAUUUGAGGUCUCCUGACUCUCGGUUGUUUUGUACAAAGUUAGUAUUUAAAACGGGGGCAUCCUAUAUCAAAAUAUAUAUAAGUAAGCUCAUUCAUAGGAGUGAAACUCAAAGUUUAAUCACUGGUGUGGCGCGGGCACUGACCCAUCGGAAUGGACAUGGUAUUUCACUGUGGACCUGGUUUGCACUGGUCCAGUUUAUAGCAAAUGGAAAUUAUGGUAAAUAAGGGUUAAGAGGCAUUUGAGUAUUGGGAAACUGGCAUAUAUAUUUGAGAUGUAAAAGUGUUUUCUCAAACUUAUACCAACAUGUGUUUAAGUACAAGGUAUAUCUAAGUGCAAUUUUUAUGGAAUUGUCAGUCAUUGGUUAGGGAACAUAUGGAGGCAAUAAUAAAGAAUAAGGAAAAUGAGCUUUUCUAGGUAGAGAAGUACAAUGACUAAGAUUCCAGAGGUACGUGGUUAGUGAAUAAAAAUAUCAAAACAAAUAAACACCAAAUGAACUUUCAGUCCCAGGACACAGAUGACCGUUUAGGAAUGAGGAUACUUUGGCAUCUGAUCUCACACUGUAAGAAGAACUUGCAAAUCUCCGGGUGGAUGCAAAGGUAGCAGAUGACCUCCAAGGAUGUGAGGAACCUUCUCCAACAAAGCUAAGUGGCCGCAUCAGGAUUCAACUGACGGCAAAGCACAUACCAUUCACAAUGGGCCAUAAUGUCAACAACGUAAUCCAGGAAGUAAAACCAAAGUGCUCAAGUAGUGGGUGACUUGAGAGGAUAAAGAAGAGGCAUCCUCUUGAGUUGGUGUAUGGGAGGCCAAGAGUGUCACGCUCAGUACCUCCAAGGGCCUGGAGCUCUGCAGAUGAGUGAUUGCUCGUGGCUAGCUGUCAUUCUGUAUUUAUGAGUUGAUAUGUCAACUGGGACUGAUUCGAGCAUAGAGCACCGCUGAUCUUUUUUAAGGUAAUAAUGCUAUGAUUUCAAAAGGCCUGGCCGGGAUUUAAAGAGACUCAAAAUACCUCACACCACGGUGCCGUGACAAAUAUGCCAACAUCCUCAUAUGUUUCCUGGUAAGGAAUCAGCACAUACCAGGGAAGCCCCGCUCUGAACAUCUCCAACUAGGUUCAUCUUAUCGCGUUUACUAAGAUCCGUGUCUUUUAAGCUUACCAUAGCACAAUAUCACUUAAAAUCUAUGAAUCUGAGCAUGUAUCCUGACCAGUUCCCCAAGUGCGGUCUUGAAGGCUGUGUCUGAUUUGUUUCCCAACAGGUAGAUCUUAGAAACAGGGCAUUCCACCCUGAGGAAAUCACGAGAAACCCCAGAGAAAGGAGGUGGAAGGAAUGGCAAAAUGUGAUGCGGUUGUGUGCAGGGAAGAGGAGAGAAAGAGAGGGGAAAGCCGGAAGUCCCAAGGGUGAUUUUGUUUCCCCUUGUUUCGCUGUUACUGAAAUCCGGGACCCAACAUUCUCUCUGAACUGGGAAUCAUCUCCUAUCUCCUUUAGCAAGAGGCCAUUUGGUUCUACACACCACAUGUAAGAGGAGCAUUGUACUUUGGAAUUCUCAGGCUGAAAUUGGUCAGAAUGCUGCUGGAAUGUGAUACUGGGAACUACUAAUGGCCAUCUUUCCAGGUAAUUUUCUGCAAUAUGAAGACUAAAGCCAACAAACAGACAGAUAUGGUUCGUCAGUAUAUGAAGUAACUUCACCAAGAAUCCACACUGUUAUAGGUGGGUGCUUAGCAUUUCAAAUAUUAUCAAAAUCUUCACCAGAAGGGUUAUUAGUUUAACAGAUGUUAGAAACAAUUUCUUUCUUUCUUUUUAAGUUUAUUUAUUUUAAGAGAAAGCAAGAAGAGGGGAGGGGCAGAGAGAGGAAGAGAGAGGACCCAAGCAGGCUCCAGACCGUUAGCACUGAACCCACCAUGGGGUCCGAACCCAUGAACCUCGGGAUUGUGACCUGAGCCAAGGUCAAAAGUCAGACAGUCAACUGACUGAGAUGCCCAGGUGCCCCUAGAAACAAUUUUUUUUAAUUGGCAAAAUGAGUCAUGUUCAAGACAGACGUGUUUGGUUAGGAACAUCAUGCAGGUAUGAAGUAUAAAAAUCCAGAAAGCUUAGAUUUCUACAAUUAUAAUGCUUGAG